UACGGAGGGUGCAAGCGUUAUCCGGAUUUAUUGGGUUUAAAGGGUCCGUAGGUGGACCAUUAAGUCAGAGGUGAAAGCCCGCGGCUCAACCGCGGAACUGCCUUUGAUACUGGUGGUCUUGAGUGUGCUCGAAGUUGGCGGAAUAUGACAUGUAGCGGUGAAAUGCUUAGAUAUGUCAUAGAACACCGAUUGCGAAGGCAGCCAACUAGGUCACAACUGACACUGAGGGACGAAAGCGUGGGGAGCGAACAGG
RNAcentral lists this ribosomal RNA (253 nucleotides) under uncultured bacterium. RNAcentral's name for it is "partial 16S ribosomal RNA". It matches the Rfam family "Bacterial small subunit ribosomal RNA", at positions 524 to 776 of the family's 1533-position model. The record is from RNAcentral.